AUACACUCAGUGCAUUAUAUCCUUUUAUUUUCAAUAAUACAGAGAAGAUUAGCAUGGCCCCUGCGCAAGGAUGACACGCAAAAUCGUGAAGCGUUCCACAUUUUU
Daphnia magna is the source of this 105-nucleotide small nuclear RNA. The record is from RefSeq and is a predicted model, not a curated record. NCBI's taxonomy places the organism in Eukaryota, Metazoa, Arthropoda, Branchiopoda, Diplostraca, Daphniidae.